GCUCAGUAACACGUGGAUAACCUGCCCUUGGGUCUGGGAUAACCCCGGGAAACUGGGGAUAAUACCGGAUAACGCAUAUAUGCUGGAAUGCUUUAUGCGUAAAAUGGAUUCGUCUGCCCAAGGAUGGGUCUGCGGCCUAUCAGGUAGUAGUGGGUGUAAUGUACCUACUAGCCUACAACGGGUACGGGUUGUGAGAGCAAGAGCCCGGAGAUGGAUUCUGAGACAUGAAUCCAGGCCCUACGGGG
RNAcentral lists this ribosomal RNA (245 nucleotides) under uncultured Methanosarcina sp. RNAcentral's name for it is "partial 16S ribosomal RNA". It matches the Rfam family "Archaeal small subunit ribosomal RNA", at positions 88 to 330 of the family's 1478-position model. Lineage: Archaea; Methanobacteriati; Methanobacteriota; Methanomicrobia; Methanosarcinales; Methanosarcinaceae. The record is from RNAcentral.